This 74-nucleotide transfer RNA is filed under the name Dunaliella salina. RNAcentral's name for it is "tRNA-Ile". It matches the Rfam family "tRNA". From Rfam's summary of the family: Transfer RNA (tRNA) molecules are approximately 80 nucleotides in length. Their secondary structure includes four short double-helical elements and three loops (D, anti-codon, and T loops). Further hydrogen bonds mediate the characteristic L-shaped molecular structure. tRNAs have two regions of fundamental functional importance: the anti-codon, which is responsible for specific mRNA codon recognition, and the 3' end, to which the tRNAs corresponding amino acid is attached (by aminoacyl-tRNA synthetases). tRNAs cope with the degeneracy of the genetic code in two manners: having more than one tRNA (with a specific anti-codon) for a particular amino acid; and 'wobble' base-pairing, i.e. permitting non-standard base-pairing at the 3rd anti-codon position. The record is from RNAcentral. Lineage: Eukaryota; Viridiplantae; Chlorophyta; Chlorophyceae; Chlamydomonadales; Dunaliellaceae.
GGGCCGUUAGCUCAGGUGGUUAGAGCGUAGAGCUGAUAACUCUAAUGUCGGAGGUUCAAGUCCCCCACGACCCA